GUCUACGGCCAUACCACGAUGAAUGCACCCAAUCUCGUCUGAUCUCAGAAGCUAAGCAAGGUCCGGCCUGGUUAGUACUUGGAUGGGAGACCACCUGGGAAUACCGGGUGCUGUAGGCU
Cricetulus griseus (Chinese hamster) is the source of this 119-nucleotide ribosomal RNA. The record is from Ensembl. NCBI's taxonomy places the organism in Eukaryota, Metazoa, Chordata, Mammalia, Rodentia, Cricetidae.